GGCGGCGUGCCUAACACAUGCAAGUCGAGCGAGAGUGAACCCUUCCGGGGGGACGUCUAGCGGCGGACGGGUGAGUAACACGUGGGUAACCGUGCCUCAAAGAGGGGGAUAGCCUCCCGAAAGGAGAUUAAUACCGCAUAACAUUAUUUCUUCGCAUGAAGAGAUAAUCAAAGGAGUAAUCCGCUUUGAGAUGGACCCGCGGCGCAUUAGCUAGUUGGUGAGGUAAUGGCUCACCAAGGCAACGAUGCGUAGCCGACCUGAGAGGGUGAUCGGCCACAUUGGAACUGAGAUACGGUCCAGACUCCUACGGGAGGCAGCAGUGGGGAAUAUUGCGCAAUGGGGGAAACCCUGACGCAAGCAACGCCGCGUGGGUGAAGAAGGCCUUCGGGUUGUAAAGCUCUGUCUUCUGGGACGAUAAUGACGGUACCAGAGGAGGAAGCCACGGCUAACUACGUGCCAGCAGCUGC
This 467-nucleotide ribosomal RNA is filed under the name uncultured bacterium. RNAcentral's name for it is "bacterial SSU rRNA". It matches the Rfam family "Bacterial small subunit ribosomal RNA", at positions 38 to 518 of the family's 1533-position model. The record is from RNAcentral.